Molecule: ribosomal RNA, 486 nt
Filed under: uncultured bacterium
Lineage: Bacteria
Description: bacterial SSU rRNA
Rfam family: Bacterial small subunit ribosomal RNA
Source: RNAcentral
AUGAACGCUAGCGACAGGCCUAACACAUGCAAGUCGAGGGGCAGCACAUGAGUAGCAAUACGAUGGUGGCGACCGGCGCACGGGUGAGUAACACGUAUGCAACCUGCCUGUAAGAGGGGGAUAACCCGGAGAAAUUCGGACUAAUACCGCAUAAUACCACGAGACUGCAUGGUUUUGUGGUUAAACAUUUAUGGCUUACAGAUGGGCAUGCGUAUGAUUAGAUAGUUGGUAGGGUAACGGCCUACCAAGUCUACGAUCAUUAGGGGUUCUGAGAGGAAGGUCCCCCACACUGGUACUGAGACACGGACCAGACUCCUACGGGAGGCAGCAGUGAGGAAUAUUGGUCAAUGGGCGCAAGCCUGAACCAGCCAUGCCGCGUGCAGGAUGAAGCAUCUAUGGUGUGUAAACUGCUUUUGUACGGGAAGAAACACCGGAACGCGUUCCGGCUUGACGGUACCGUAAGGAUAAGGAUCGGCUAACUCCGUG